AAAGAAGAAAAGAAAUUUGGAAAAGGAAAAGGCGUUUAUCUCCCUCUUCCCACAAAAACCCACACGCGCCUCUCUCUCUUGGAUUUCCCUCACACUCACUCAUCUCUCUCUCCACCCCCUAACCGUCUCUCUCUUCUACCUCCCAUGUGUCCCUCCCUCUUUCCAUUACCCGUCACCCACUCAAAUAACUCACCCACUCACAUGUGAAAGAGGAGGAGACGGUUACAAAAAAAGAAAUAAAAAGAAAACGGAAAAAGGAAAUAAUGAUAGAGAAUUCACAUGGAGCAUUAAAAGACGAGCCACCACAAAACUCUCUCUAAAAAAGAAAGGGAAGAGAAAGAAAAAGGAGAAAACUUUUCAUCUCCCCACCUUCCUCAACCUCCUCCGUGUCACCCAUAACCUCACACCGACAACCCACA
Molecule: long non-coding RNA, 419 nt
Filed under: Lathyrus oleraceus (garden pea)
Lineage: Eukaryota; Viridiplantae; Streptophyta; Magnoliopsida; Fabales; Fabaceae
Description: Pisum sativum (pea) long non-coding RNA (PSAT_LNC008662)
Source: RNAcentral